Molecule: long non-coding RNA, 1632 nt
Filed under: Sphaeramia orbicularis (orbiculate cardinalfish)
Lineage: Eukaryota; Metazoa; Chordata; Actinopteri; Kurtiformes; Apogonidae
Description: lncRNA (ENSSORG00005018301.1)
Source: RNAcentral
AUGCUAAUAGUCAACGCCAGUGUAGCAGCAGGCUUUACUCAGAGCACUGUUAAACACCACCACAGGACCAGCCCCAGAUGGUCCCAAACACCACCACAGGACCAGCCCCAGAUGGUCCCAAACACCACCGCAGGACCAGCCCCAGAUGGUCCCAAACACCACCACAGGACCAGCCCCAGAUGGUCCCAAACACCACCACAGGACCAGCCCCAGAUGGUCCCAAACACCACCACAGGACCAGCCCCAGGUGGUCCCAAACACCACCACAGGACCAGCCCCAGGUGGUCCCAAACACCACCACAGGACCAGCCCCAGGUGGUCCCAAACACCACCACAGGACCAGCCCCAGAUGGUCCCAAACACCACCACAGGACCAGCCCCAGGUGGUCCCAAACACCACCACAGGACCAGCCCCAGGUGGUCCCAAACACCACCACAGGACCAGCCCCAGAUGGUCCCAAACACCACCACAGGACCAGCCCCAGGUGGUCCCAAACACCACCACAGGACCAGCCCCAGGUGGUCCCAAACACCACCACAGGACCAGCCCCAGAUGGUCCCAAACACCACCACAGGACCAGCCCCAGGUGGUCCCAAACACCACCACAGGACCAGCCCCAGAUGGUCCCAAACACCACCGCAGGACCAGCCCCAGAUGGUCCCAAACACCACCGCAGGACCAGCCCCAGGUGGUCCCAAACACCACCGCAGGACCAGCCCCAGAUGGUCCCAAACACCACCGCAGGACCAGCCCCAGGUGGUCCCAAACACCACCGCAGGACCAGCCCCAGGUGGUCCCAAACACCACCGCAGGACCAGCCCCAGAUGGUCCCAAACACCACCACAGGACCAGCCCCAGGUGGUCCCAAACACCACCACAGGACCAGCCCCAGGUGGUCCCAAACACCACCACAGGACCACCACAGGACCAGCCCCAGGUGGUCCCAAACACCACCACAGGACCAGCCCCAGAUGGUCCCAAACACCACCACAGGACCAGCCCCAGGUGGUCCCAAACACCACCACAGGACCAGCCCCAGAUGGUCCCAAACACCACCACAGGACCAGCCCCAGGUGGUCCCAAACACCACCACAGGACCAGCCCCAGGUGGUCCCAAACACCACCACAGGACCAGCCCCAGAUGGUCCCAAACACCACCACAGGACCAGCCCCAGGUGGUCCCAAACACCACCACAGGACCACCACAGGACCAGCCCCAGGUGGUCCCAAACACCACCACAGGACCGGCAGCUGGUCCUUCUGUCCUUUACACAGACGGUCAGCUGGUCCUUCUGUCCUUUACACAGACGGUCAGCUGGUCCUUCUGUCCUUUAGACAGACGGUCAACUGGUCCUUCUGUCCUUUACACAGACGGUCAGCUGGUCCUUCUGUCCUUUAGACAGACGGUCAACUGGUCCUUCUGUCCUUUACACAGACGGUCAGCUGGUCCUUCUGUCCUUUACACAGACGGUCAGCUGGUCCUUCUGUCCUUCUGUCCUUUACACAGACGGUCAGCUGGUCCUUCUGUCCUUUACACAGACGGUCAGCUGGUCCUUCUGUCCUUUACACAGACAGUCAGCUGGUCCUUCUGUCCUUUACACAGACGGUCAGCUGGUCCUUCUGUCCUUUAG